GCGCCCUUAGCUCAGUGGAUAGAGCGUCUGACUACGAAUCAGAAGGCCGCAGGUUCGAAUCCUGCAGGGCGCGCCA
This 76-nucleotide transfer RNA is filed under the name Actinomycetes bacterium. RNAcentral describes it as "Actinobacteria bacterium tRNA-Arg". It matches the Rfam family "tRNA". Rfam says of the family: Transfer RNA (tRNA) molecules are approximately 80 nucleotides in length. The record is from RNAcentral. Lineage: Bacteria; Bacillati; Actinomycetota; Actinomycetes.